GAUGAACGCUGGCGGCGUGCCUAAUACAUGCAAGUCGAGCGAACAGAUGAGGAGCUUGCUCCUCUGACGUUAGCGGCGGACGGGUGAGUAACACGUGGAUAACCUACCUAUAAGACUGGGAUAACUUCGGGAAACCGGAGCUAAUACCGGAUAAUAUAUUGAACCGCAUGGUUCAAUAGUGAAAGACGGUUUUGCUGUCACUUAUAGAUGGAUCCGCGCCGCAUUAGCUAGUUGGUAAGGUAACGGCUUACCAAGGCAACGAUGCGUAGCCGACCUGAGAGGGUGAUCGGCCAAACUGGAACUGAGACACGGUCCAGACUCCUACGGGAGGCAGCAGUAGGGAAUCUUCCGCAAUGGGCGAAAGCCUGACGGAGCAACGCCGCGUGAGUGAUGAAGGUCUUCGGAUCGUAAAACUCUGUUAUUAGGGAAGAACAAAUGUGUAAGUAACUAUGCCCGUCUUGACGGUACCUAAUCAGAAAGCCACGGCUAACUACGUG
RNAcentral lists this ribosomal RNA (497 nucleotides) under uncultured bacterium. Its description in RNAcentral is "partial 16S ribosomal RNA". It matches the Rfam family "Bacterial small subunit ribosomal RNA", at positions 28 to 507 of the family's 1533-position model. The record is from RNAcentral.